UGGCAGCGCCAGGCUAUUGUGGCUCUGGCUGUGUUCAGAGGCUGAGGAAUUGCAGUAAUGCUCAUUCUGCAGCUUCACAAUGCAGCAGUGUCUUUGCUGGAUGCUUCUGCUCAUGACCACGUUGAUUGCUUGCAUAACAACAGCACUUUGGAUACUCCGGAGAUUUCUGCUUGAAGGACACCUUUCCAUAGACAACCUCACUCUUUCAGUCGUUUGAGGCAGAGAGCACAGGCUUUUUAUAUGGUGCAUGGAUUUCUACUGCUUAUUGAUCAAAGGCAGUAGAAAAUAAAUAUACCUGUGCCAGGAUUAAGACAUACAGGAAGAAGGACGAGAGCCUGUAAUUGGAAUGCUGCCACUGGAUAAUAAUGAUGAGCACUUCUCAUCUUCAAAGGGCUUUCAGCCUCCCUAGCCAACACACAUAUCUGCUGCCUUAGGAAGAUGAGCCAUAAACAAACACACUAUUUUCCCUUAUUGGAACCCAGUGGAUGAACUUUAUGCAGCUGGUGAACAGACAUGGAAAUAUUCUGACUGAUGUUAUUAAUAAUUACUGUCUACCUGGAGAAUUUACAACAUUUAAAAACCUCAUUAGUAAAACCCAAAACACUACCUUUUCCUCUUUCUGGUCAUCUUCCCUCUUCA
Cyanistes caeruleus (blue tit) is the source of this 639-nucleotide non-coding RNA. NCBI's taxonomy places the organism in Eukaryota, Metazoa, Chordata, Aves, Passeriformes, Paridae. The record is from RefSeq and is a predicted model, not a curated record.